Molecule: ribosomal RNA, 446 nt
Filed under: uncultured bacterium
Lineage: Bacteria
Description: partial 16S ribosomal RNA
Rfam family: Bacterial small subunit ribosomal RNA
Source: RNAcentral
CCUACGGGGGGCAGCAGUCGAGAAUUAUUCACAAUGGGGGAAACCCUGAUGGUGCGACGCCGCGUGGGGGAAUGAAGGUCUUCGGAUUGUAAACCCCUGUCAUGUGGGAGCAAAUUAAAAAGAUAGUACCACAAGAGGAAGAGACGGCUAACUCUGUGCCAGCAGCCGCGGUAAUACAGAGGUCUCAAGCGUUGUUCGGAAUCACUGGGCGUAAAGCGUGCGUAGGCUGUUUCGUAAGUCGUGUGUGAAAGGCGCGGGCUCAACCCGCGGACGGCACAUGAUACUGCGAGACUAGAGUGAUGGAGGGGGAACCGGAAUUCUCGGUGUAGCAGUGAAAUGCGUAGAUAUCGAGAGGAACACUCGUGGCGAAGGCGGGUUCCUGGACAUUAACUGACGCUGAGGCACGAAGGCCAGGGGAGCGAAAGGGAUUAGAUACCCCUGUAGUC